GGCCCAGACUCCUACGGAGGCAGCAGUGGGAAUAUUGCACAAUGGGCGAAAGCCUGAUGCAGCAACGCCGCGUGAGGGAUGACGGCCUUCGGGUUGUAAACCUCUUUUAGCAGGGAAGAAGCGAAAGUGACGGUACCUGCAGAAAAAGCGCCGGCUAACUACGUGCCAGCAGCCGCGGUAAUACGUAGGGCGCAAGCGUUAUCCGGAAUUAUUGGGCGUAAAGAGCUCGUAGGCGGUUUGUCGCGUCUGCUGUGAAAUCCCGAGGCUCAACCUCGGGCCUGCAGUGGGUACGGGCAGACUAGAGUGCGGUAGGGGAGAUUGGAAUUCCUGGUGUAGCGGUGGAAUGCGCAGAUAUCAGGAGGAACACCGAUGGCGAAGGCAGAUCUCUGGGCCGUAACUGACGCUGAGGAGCGAAAGGGUGGGGAGCAAACAGGCUUAGAUACCCUGGUAGUCCACCCCGUAAACGUUGGGAACUAGUUGUGGGGUCCAUUCCACGGAUUCCGUGACGCAGCUAACGCAUUAAGUUCCCCGCCUGGGGAGUACGGCCGCAAGGCUAAAACUCAAAGGAAUUGACGGGGACCCGCACAAGCGGCGGAGCAUGCGGAUUAAUUCGAUGCAACGCGAAGAACCUUACCAAGGCUUGACAUACACGAGAACACCGUAGAAAUACGGGACUCUUUGGACACUCGUGAACAGGUGGUGCAUGGUUGUCGUCAGCUCGUGUCGUGAGAUGUUGGGUUAAGUCCCGCAACGAGCGCAACCCUCGUUCUAUGUUGCCAGCACGUAAUGGUGGGAACUCAUGGGAUACUGCCGGGGUCAACUCGGAGGAAGGUGGGGAUGACGUCAAAUCAUCAUGCCCCUUAUGUCUUGGGCUUCACGCAUGCUACAAUGGCCGGUACAAAGGGCUGCAAUACCGCGAGGUGGAGCGAAUCCCAAAAAGCCGGUCCCAGUUCGGAUUGAGGUCUGCAACUCGACCUCAUGAAGUCGGAGUCGCUAGUAAUCGCAGAUCAGCAACGCUGCGGUGAAUACGUUCCCGGGUCUUGUACACACCGCCCGUCAAGUCAUGAAAGUCGGUAACACCUGAAGCCGGUGGCCUAACCCUUGUGGAGGGAGCC
This 1115-nucleotide ribosomal RNA is filed under the name Microbacterium mitrae. RNAcentral describes it as "bacterial SSU rRNA". It matches the Rfam family "Bacterial small subunit ribosomal RNA", at positions 328 to 1454 of the family's 1533-position model. The record is from RNAcentral. Lineage: Bacteria; Bacillati; Actinomycetota; Actinomycetes; Micrococcales; Microbacteriaceae.